GUCGAGAAUCUUUGGCAAUGGGCGAAAGCCUGACCAUGCGACGCCGCGUGUAGGAUGAAGGCCUUCGGGUCGUAAACUACUGUCUUGAGGAAAGAAGGGUCAUGCGACUAAUAGUCGUGAGAUCUUGACGGUACCUCAAAAGAAAGCCACGGCUAACUCCGUGCCAGCAGCCGCGGUAAUACGGAGGUGGCGAGCGUUGCUCGGAUUUACUGGGUGUAAAGGGCAAGUAGGCGGUCCUGAAAGUCCUGUCUGAAAGGUGUCAGCUCAACUGGCACACUGGGCAGGAUACUACAGGACUAGAGGUCGGAAGAGGCAAGCGGAAUUCCCGGUGUAAGGGUGAAAUCUGUAGAUAUCGGGAGGAACACCAGUGGCGAAGGCGGCUUGCUGGUCCGAUUCUGACGCUGAGGUGCGAAAGCUAGGGGAGCAAACAGG
This 432-nucleotide ribosomal RNA is filed under the name uncultured bacterium. RNAcentral describes it as "bacterial SSU rRNA". It matches the Rfam family "Bacterial small subunit ribosomal RNA", at positions 354 to 776 of the family's 1533-position model. The record is from RNAcentral.